This 76-nucleotide transfer RNA is filed under the name Mycobacteroides abscessus subsp. abscessus. RNAcentral's name for it is "tRNA-Val". It matches the Rfam family "tRNA". From Rfam's summary of the family: Transfer RNA (tRNA) molecules are approximately 80 nucleotides in length. Their secondary structure includes four short double-helical elements and three loops (D, anti-codon, and T loops). Further hydrogen bonds mediate the characteristic L-shaped molecular structure. tRNAs have two regions of fundamental functional importance: the anti-codon, which is responsible for specific mRNA codon recognition, and the 3' end, to which the tRNAs corresponding amino acid is attached (by aminoacyl-tRNA synthetases). tRNAs cope with the degeneracy of the genetic code in two manners: having more than one tRNA (with a specific anti-codon) for a particular amino acid; and 'wobble' base-pairing, i.e. permitting non-standard base-pairing at the 3rd anti-codon position. The record is from RNAcentral. Lineage: Bacteria; Bacillati; Actinomycetota; Actinomycetes; Mycobacteriales; Mycobacteriaceae.
GGUCUCGUAGCUCAGUUGGAAGAGCACCUGGUUUACACCCAGGGUGUCGGCGGUUCGAACCCGUCCGAGAUCACCA